RNA transcript from Corticium candelabrum, 2288 nucleotides. RefSeq lists it as uncharacterized. The transcript has 11 exons. The record is from RefSeq and is a predicted model, not a curated record. Lineage: Eukaryota; Metazoa; Porifera; Homoscleromorpha; Homosclerophorida; Plakinidae.
GCUGAGCUCUGGAGGGAAUGUGGGGUACGGUUACGUAAGCGAGUUCAGCCUUACAGUCUGGGCGAGCUCUACUUGGUUUUGAAGCCUGGCGUCUCAGGCGGUUCAAGAAACCCGGCGCUGUUGGCGUUUUAGAACCAGCACUCUGGUUCGGAUGUGUUUUGUGUUUGGCGCUUUGGACGGUGUUGUCUGUGAUGUGAUCGAUCUGGCACUUUGGAUGAUCAUAUGGUUCAAGUUAGUUCGGCGCUCCGAACGGUGUUCAGCAUUUGAGUUCGACUGUACCCUACCCCUACUGUGAACUCCUCCCAAUGCGACCCAAAUUGCAUUGCAACGGUCUGAAGCAUGGUGUUCUCGCGGCAUGGUGUUAAUGUGAGAUGACGGCAGUCAGUGCAAGCAACACAGACAGACAGUCAUCAAGUUUAUUCUGUGGAGAGUGGAGACACAGUCAGAUAAAUCCUGAGCUGUCAACUAAACAACAUAGCAAGGUGGCACCAGACGAUCUGGUUGCUGUGGCAAGUGCAGUGGGUGUAAACUGGGAGGAGCUCGGUGCCAGACUAGCACCAGUCAUGUUUAGUAUCAUAAAGACGGAACAGAUGAAAGCUCAGUAUGGUAAACCUUUCAUUCAGUCUCGUUCAAUGUUGGAGGAAUGGGCGAACGGAUUGGACAAGGAAGCUAUCAACGGGUCACUGAUUGAAUCUCUAUUGAAGACGAACGUGAGACGACAAGUCAAUGAAAUAUUUGGAGAAGAUCUCGUGACGAAUGUGGAAACAAAUGGCUGAUGAAAGAGUCAGAUAUGAAUAUGUACAGUCUCUUGGGAGAGAUACAUGUAUACGAAACUGGUGCAACAUUGCAUAUGGGGAACGUAUGCAGAGAGUCGCUCAUGUGUAUAAUGUGACGAGCGAUCGUGAGUGUGUGAAUCUCUAUGCAGAGUUAGCGCUUGCAAACAGCCUGUGUAUAGGAUCGCUGACGAACAACAAGCGAUUGGAUGCCGUCAAGAGAGUAAGAGAUCACAUCGGUUGUGGUAUCCAGAUUUUGUGUGAAGACGAUGGAGUUUGGAUCUACAAUCAGAGCGACUACCCGAUCUUUGCUUAGAGCUUGACUCUGGACUAUAUGUCGAAGGGCCGACUACUCGCAGUCAAGAAAGUCCAAAUCGGCUACUCGACUCGAGUCUUUGACUUUGAGAGAUGUCGAGAGAUGCUCGAAUGCGAGAAGACGCCACAGACUGGAAAAUACGUGACGAUCCGUUCUCAUUUAGAGUUAGCUUCGGGAAAGGCUGGGGACCUAGCUACACGAAGCAAUAUCCGAGCAGUUGCCUAUGCUGGAUUGAAGUAUUUCUUAAUGUCACACGGUAGCAGCACUUGCAUGACGCUAAACAACAAGGCAUGCCAGGAGUAAAGCUGCAACUAGGUUACAUGUGGAGCAAUCCAAUUCACAUUGGAGCUGAUUCUGAAUUUGUGUCUCUGAAUGGAAAUUAUCUAUGUGCCUGGUUUCCUGCAAACAGUGAGUUUGCUGUCCUUUUGGAGCCUCAUAUGUACUUAGCACCCGAUACAAGGUUACUACAAUGUGAACAGUCAAAGUGUUUAGCAGAGAGUCUUCCAUUGUAUGCAAUCGAGUCAACCUCCGCUAUUUCUCAUCUUCUGAGUGACACUCAUGUUGAUGAAUGUCUUCAAAAGUUUGUGGUGUGCAAGAAAUGGAUGUGCAAGUCAACAUCAGCGACUGUUGGCAAGCUAAUUGAACGACUCAGUGCUAUUUAUCGAAACGAUGAAGCAGAAACUCAAGUGCAGGAGAGUGUGAGACGAAGACAGUCAGUGUAGACAGACAGUCUUCCAGUACAUUUUUGUGUGGAGUUGAGACAUAGCCAGAUAGAAACUGAAUUGGCAAGGAGAGGGCAUUGCAAGGUGAGAUCUGGUUGCUGUAGCAGUCCUUGUGGGUGUGUUGUGGGACAAGCUUGCCACCGAGCUAGCACCAGAUUUGUGUAGCACUGGAAAGAUAGACCAGAUUAAAAUACAAUUUUAUUUUAGUGUUUCAGUCAAUGCAGUGCAAUGUUGGAAAAAUGGUCUAGCAAUUGGGACAAGAAAGCAACCAAUGGGGCACUGAUGGAGGCUUUGUUAUAGACGGACAUGAAAACACAAGCAAACAAAAUAUUUGGAAAAGAACUCGUGAAAUAUGUGAAAUCCAACCAUUUGCAUUAGAGAUGCAGUAAGAGUACAUGUAUUGUAUUGCUAAUUAACUUAAUUGACAGUUCCAUCUCAUGUAAUCUCAAUGUGAUUAUCAUGACACAGCCCACUCCA